Molecule: ribosomal RNA, 497 nt
Filed under: uncultured bacterium
Lineage: Bacteria
Description: partial 16S ribosomal RNA
Rfam family: Bacterial small subunit ribosomal RNA
Source: RNAcentral
GACGAACGCUGGCGGCGUGCCUAAUACAUGCAAGUUGAGCGCUGAAGGUUGGUACUUGUACCAACUGGAUGAGCAGCGAACGGGUGAGUAACGCGUGGGGAAUCUGCCUUUGAGCGGGGGACAACAUUUGGAAACGAAUGCUAAUACCGCAUAAAAACUUUAAACACAAGUUUUAAGUUUGAAAGAUGCAAUUGCAUCACUCAAAGAUGAUCCCGCGUUGUAUUAGCUAGUUGGUGAGGUAAAGGCUCACCAAGGCGAUGAUACAUAGCCGACCUGAGAGGGUGGUCGGCCACAUUGGGACUGAGACACGGCCCAAACUCCUUCGGGAGGCAGCCGUAGGGAAUCUUCGGCAAUGGACGAAAGUCUGACCGAGCAACGCCGCGUGAGUGAAGAAGGUUUUCGGAUCGUAAAACUCUGUUGGUAGAGAAGAACGUUGGUGAGAGUGGAACGCUCAUCAAGUGACGGUAACUACCCAGAAAGGGACGGCUAACUACGUG